RNAcentral lists this transfer RNA (73 nucleotides) under Hoplichthys gilberti. RNAcentral's name for it is "tRNA-Ser(AGY)". Lineage: Eukaryota; Metazoa; Chordata; Actinopteri; Perciformes; Hoplichthyidae. The record is from RNAcentral.
CCACCGAGAAAGGCUAGGUUGCAACGGAGACUGCUAAUCUCCGCAACCUUGGUUCGACCCCAAGGCUUGCUCA